Molecule: ribosomal RNA, 330 nt
Filed under: uncultured eukaryote
Lineage: Eukaryota
Description: partial 18S ribosomal RNA
Rfam family: Eukaryotic small subunit ribosomal RNA
Source: RNAcentral
CCCUUGGAUGUUCUGGGCCGCACGCGUGCUACACUGAUGCAUUCAACGAGUCUAAAACCUGGUCUGAUAGGGCUGGGUAAUCUUUUGAAAGUGCAUCGUGAUUGGGAUAGAUGAUUGCAAUUCUUCAUCUUCAACGAGGAAUGCCUAGUAAACGCAAGUCAUCAGCUUGCAUUGAUUACGUCCCUGCCCUUUGUACACACCGCCCGUCGCUCCUACCGAUUGAAUGAUCCGAUGAAUACCAUGGAUUGAGAGUACGAAUAGGUUCGCUUAUUUCUGCUGCUCGAGAAGUGGAGUAAAUCUUAUCAUUUAGAGGAAGGAGAAGUCGUAACA